GUAAGCUAGCAGGAGCUAACGUGUAAACAACUGGGUGAUGGGAAGAGGGGUGGGCCUACUGUGUACUAGCAUUAGCGACUUUACAGCCCUAAUAUUUUCUUCUUAUUGCUGUUGCUUAAAUCAUUAGAGGAUUGAGAUGUCAAGUACCCAGAAAACGGCCCUGAAACUGCCGAUACGCCACAAAAGCCUCUGGAUGAAAGCCGCCACCGAAAGAGCUUCAUGUCACGAUCAAAUAAAGGAAAAACUGCAGUGGGGUCGCACGUGUUUGGUUAAUGCCAAGCAGAUGCGGGCGUACUGUAUGAUUACUGCAUCUCAGCGUGGAUCCAUACCCACACAGACAGGAAAGGGAUGACAGCUGUUAGCCAUCAGCACCGGCGCUCAGGAGGCCCUGAACUGGAGGCCACGGCAGCGUCUGCACAAAUAAACACCAACGUGUGCCCGUGUUCGCGAAUGUACACGCCGGAUGCACGGGGAAGCGCGUGGAGGCGGGAAGGCCCACCGUACGCCCCUGAAGACUCAGAGUUUAUGCCGGAGAACAUAAACAUCCUGCCCCUCCUCGUGGUUGUUUUGAGGGUGACCCGAAAAAGCCAACAGUUUCCUGACACCUCCUCUGCUGGCGUUCAGGGAAGACUCGAGUGUUUCCCUUUCUGCUGGGUCUCUCCCUGAGCCGAGGGGCGGAGCCACCGUGUGUGAAUGAUGUGGACUUCGCAGCCUCGACUCAGUCCACACCCUCGACCUAAAGAGGAGUCAGGAGGAGGCGGAGCUAACUCAGCAAGCGCUCUGAGCUCCCUCGGAGCCGGGACUUGACUUGUGAGUCCUCCAGGAGCAACAUGUGUGCACGCCGUGACCUGUGCCGACUUUGGGAAGAACUUCCUGACUUUUGGGAUCUCUGCAGUCUGAGUGAAGUCGGGCGUCAGGGUUUUUGAUCAAAUCACAUUCAGUCAGAGAUCCGCCCGCUGCUUCCUCGUCUCCACGGUUUGAAACGUGACAAACCAGCUCGUGGUUCAGGUGAGGAGUGGAGCAUCAUGGCAGACAGAGGAGAGAUUGUGACUGGGGAGGGAGAAGCUGCGAGGAGGACGAGGAGGACGAGGAGGACGAGGCCACGCAGGAAGGAAGUACAGGAAAUGUCCCAUCAGGAAAAUAAGGAGCAAAUGUAAUUGUGAACUCUGAGCUCGUUUACUGUCUGGGUGGUCAUGAAAGCAGAGCUCCGAUUGUGUAUGUUGUGUACUUGAAUGUUUGCGGCUAACUGUGUGUUGGUGUUCAACAGGCUUUAGAUCACGUCAGAGUUUUAGAAGAUACAGAAAUCAAGAUUAUUCCUCAGGAAUGAAAUCAGAAGCACAAAUAUUAAAUGUUUAUAGUUUCACAUGAGCGCAAAAAGGUUUACUGCAGAUAACGAGCAAGCCAGCACUCAUCUAGGGAGGAAAUGAAAAAUAUUUUCUUGAUUUUUUUCUUUCAGGGUUAAAAUAUUUAUUGAAGAUUUUAGAUUUUUUUAAUAAUUAUUUUUUAUUGUCUUUGCAACAUAUUUAAAUAUCAGCACAGACUUUCUUAGCAAUGUCAACCUAUACUGUAUUCUUUCUAACAGGGUUUAAAAUAUAACAAUAAUAGUAAUAAUAAUACUAAUAAUAAAUAAACAAAUAAAUUUGGAAAAAAAUUAAGAAAAAUCUAUAAAUUGUUAUUCAAAGCUUAAAGGUCUUAGUGAAGAGGCUGUCUUGAGACUGGUAAAAUGGAGAAACGGUGAAACAGAAAAAUUGUGUUUUUGACAUGUUUUAGUUACAUUUUUCUUAUUUUGGAGGACAUUUAUGAAGAAAAUUAACUUUAAAUAGCAAUUCUGAUUAUUUAUUUAUUCAAAAAAAAUUUUUCAAAUGCUUGAAAAAAAAGCUUAUUUGUGACGGAGAAGAUAUGCUGGGCGGGGCUAAAAGCUCCCUGCUCCGCCCCAUUCGGGUGGAUCCACUUGUAGACAAAUAGAUCCAUGAACGUCUUUGCUUUCCUGCACUGCUAAUGUUAGGUUGGGGAAUAAGGGGCUGUAAGCUAGCAGCAGAGAAAGCAAACAAAGGGAUGAUGGGAAGAUUUAUUUUACAGGUUUUUUAAAUUUUUGAUAAAAAUAACAAUUUAGAGACAACUGGAAACAAUUUGAAUCAAACGAUGAAUAGAGUGGAACUUUAAAUUUAUCCUUUUAACUAUGUUUUUUAAAUUCCUCCAUUGGAAUCUGGCUCUAAACCAUUCGGCUGGACAGCUCUGAUAUUGGUCGCCA
This is a long non-coding RNA of Oryzias melastigma (Indian medaka), 2251 nucleotides long. RefSeq lists it as uncharacterized. The record is from RefSeq and is a predicted model, not a curated record. NCBI's taxonomy places the organism in Eukaryota, Metazoa, Chordata, Actinopteri, Beloniformes, Adrianichthyidae. The transcript has 3 exons.